RNAcentral lists this transfer RNA (73 nucleotides) under Candidatus Falkowbacteria bacterium RIFCSPLOWO2_12_FULL_45_10. RNAcentral's name for it is "tRNA-His". It matches the Rfam family "tRNA". From Rfam's summary of the family: Transfer RNA (tRNA) molecules are approximately 80 nucleotides in length. Their secondary structure includes four short double-helical elements and three loops (D, anti-codon, and T loops). Lineage: Bacteria; Candidatus Falkowiibacteriota. The record is from RNAcentral.
GUGGCUAUAGUUUAACGGUAGAACAGCGGCUUGUGGCGCCGCUGGCGAGGGUUCAACUCCCUCUAGCCACCCA